GCAUGCUCGCGACUCGGCAACGGGGAACGGCGUACAGCUCAGUAAUACUGCGAUGAUCUGGUCAGGCGCUACGAUAACCACGGGAAACUGUGGCUAACAGGCCUGGAUGAGACGCGGGUCUAUCAGCUAGUUGGUAGUGUAAUGGACUACCAAGGCGACGACGGAUGACGGGAGAUGGGGGUCUGAUUCCGGAGAGGGAGCCUGA
This 205-nucleotide ribosomal RNA is filed under the name Microsporidium sp. IVF. Its description in RNAcentral is "partial small subunit ribosomal RNA". It matches the Rfam family "Microsporidia small subunit ribosomal RNA", at positions 52 to 258 of the family's 1311-position model. The record is from RNAcentral. Lineage: Eukaryota; Fungi; Microsporidia.